Long non-coding RNA from Amblyraja radiata (thorny skate), 121 nucleotides. RefSeq lists it as uncharacterized. NCBI's taxonomy places the organism in Eukaryota, Metazoa, Chordata, Chondrichthyes, Rajiformes, Rajidae. The record is from RefSeq and is a predicted model, not a curated record. The transcript is spliced from 3 exons.
AUCAACCACAGUCCUCAGGGAUGGUUGAAAGAGUAAAUGGGGAAAUAAAAGCUACUUUGGCCUAAGUAUGUCAGCAAAAUAGGUUGUUGUGGCCAGACACCAUGCCCGUAGUGAUGUAUGC